CGCGAAUAGCUCAUUACAACAGCCUUAGUUUAUUGGAUCUUAGAGUCCUACUUGGAUAACUGUGGUAAUUCUAGAGCUAAUACACGCAAUUAAUCCUCAACCUUACGGGCGAGGAGCAUUUAUUAGAACAAAACCAAUCGGCUUCGGCCGUAUCUGGUGAAUCUGAAUAACUACGCUGAUCGCAUGGUCUCGUACCGGCGACAUAUCCUUCAAGUGUCUGCCUUAUCAACUGUCGAUGGUAGUUUACACGCCUACCAUGGUUGUAACGGGUAACGGAGAAUAAGGGUUCGACUCCGGAGAGGGAGCCUGAGAAACGGCUACCACAUCCAAGGAAGGCAGCAGGCGCGCAAAUUACCCACUCUCAGAACGAGGAGGUAGUGACGAAAAAUAACGAGACAGUUCUCUAUGAGGUCUGUCAUCGGAAUGGGUACAAUUUAAACCCUUUAACGAGGAUCUAUUGGAGGGCAAGUCUGGUGCCAGCAGCUGCGGUAAUUCCAGCUCCAAUAGCGUAUAUUAAAGUUGUUGCGGUUAAAAAGCUCGUAGUUGGAUCUGCGGUCGUAGACUCUGGUUCCCUCCUAGGGAUACUAGCUGUCUCGACCUACCUUGUUAGAUUUCCCUUGGUGCUCUUUACUGAGUGCCUUGGGUGUCUAGCUCGUUUACUUUGAAAAAAUUAGAGUGCUUAAAGCAGGCAUUUGCCUGAAUAGUGGUGCAUGGAAUAAUGGAAUAGGACCUCGGUUCUAUUUUGUUGGUUUUCGGAGCAUGAGGUAAUGAUUAAGAGGGACAGACGGGGGCAUUCGUACUGCUACGUUAGAGGUGAAAUUCUUGGAUCGUAGCAUGACGAACAACUGCGAAAGCAUUUGCCAAGAAUGUUUUCAUUAAUCAAGAACGAUAGUUAGAGGUUCGAAGGCGAUCAGAUACCGCCC
RNAcentral lists this ribosomal RNA (923 nucleotides) under Nematoda environmental sample. RNAcentral's name for it is "SSU rRNA". It matches the Rfam family "Eukaryotic small subunit ribosomal RNA", at positions 88 to 1020 of the family's 1831-position model. Lineage: Eukaryota; Metazoa; Nematoda. The record is from RNAcentral.